RNAcentral lists this transfer RNA (72 nucleotides) under Ovis aries (sheep). It matches the Rfam family "tRNA". From Rfam's summary of the family: Transfer RNA (tRNA) molecules are approximately 80 nucleotides in length. Their secondary structure includes four short double-helical elements and three loops (D, anti-codon, and T loops). The record is from Rfam by way of RNAcentral. Lineage: Eukaryota; Metazoa; Chordata; Mammalia; Artiodactyla; Bovidae.
UCCCUGGUGGCUGAGAUAGUAAAGCGUCUGCCUGCAAUGCGGGAGACCCGGGUUCUAUCCCUGGGUAAGGAA